AAUAGAUACCCGGGUAGUCCACGCCGUAAACGAUGAGUGCUAGGUGUUAGGGGGUUUCCGCCCCUUAGUGCUGCAGCUAACGCAUUAAGCACUCCGCCUGGGGAGUACGGUCGCAAGACUGAAACUCAAAGGAAUUGACGGGGGCCCGCGCAAGCGGUGGAGCAUGUGGUUUAAUUCGAAGCAACGCGAAGAACCUUACCAGGUCUUGACAUCCCGCUGACCGCCAUGGAGACAUGGCUUUCCCUUCGGGGACAGCGGUGACAGGUGGUGCAUGGUUGUCGUCAGCUCGUGUCGUGAGAUGUUGGGUUAAGUCCCGCAACGAGCGCAACCCUUGUCCUUAGUUGCCAUCAUUCAGUUGGGCACUCUAAGAAGACUGCCGUACAAAUACGGAGGAAGGUGGGGAUGACGUCAAAUCAUCAUGCCCCUUAUGACCUGGGCUACACACGUGCUACAAUGGGUGGUACAAAGGGCAGCGAACCCGCGAGGGGGAGCGAAUCCCAAAGAGCCGUCUCAGUUCGGAUUGUACUCUGCAA
This 533-nucleotide ribosomal RNA is filed under the name uncultured bacterium. RNAcentral's name for it is "bacterial SSU rRNA". It matches the Rfam family "Bacterial small subunit ribosomal RNA", at positions 777 to 1310 of the family's 1533-position model. The record is from RNAcentral.